GAUGAAGAACGUAGUGAAAUGCGAUAAGUAAUGUGAAUUGCAGAAUUCAGUGAAUCAUCGAAUCUUUGAACGCACCUUGCGCCCUUUGGCCAUUCCGAAGGGCAUGCCUGUUUGAGUAUCAUGAACACCUCAACUCUUCAUGGUUUUCCAUGAUGAGCUUGGACUUUGGGGGUCUUGCUGGCCUACGGUCGGCUCCUCUAAAAUAAAUCAGCUUGCCAGUGUUUGGUGGGUAUCGCAGGUGUGAUAACUAUCUACGCUUGUGGUUUUCCACCAAGUAACCUUCAGCAGUGGAGGUUCACUGGAGCUCACAGAUGUGUCUCUCCUCAGUGAGGGAUAGCUCUUUGAAUGUUUGAUCUCAAAUCAGGUAGGACUACCCGCUGAACUUAAGCAUAUCAAUAAGCGGAGGA
RNAcentral lists this unclassified non-coding RNA (407 nucleotides) under soil metagenome. Its description in RNAcentral is "partial contains 5.8S ribosomal RNA, internal transcribed spacer 2, and large subunit ribosomal RNA". The stretch from base 1 to 121 matches the Rfam family "5.8S ribosomal RNA", at positions 35 to 154 of the family's 154-position model. The record is from RNAcentral.